This 465-nucleotide ribosomal RNA is filed under the name uncultured bacterium. RNAcentral describes it as "partial 16S ribosomal RNA". It matches the Rfam family "Bacterial small subunit ribosomal RNA", at positions 338 to 795 of the family's 1533-position model. The record is from RNAcentral.
CCUACGGGCGGCAGCAGUGAGGAAUAUUGCUCAAUGGGCGAGAGCCUGACGCAGCGACGCCGCGUGAGGGAUGAAGGUCUUCGGAUCGUAAACCUCUGUCAGCAGGGAAGAACAGUCACUGUGCUAAUCAGCAGUGAAUUGACGUUACCUGCAAAGGACGCACAGGCUAACUCCGUGCCAGCAGCCGCGGUAAUACGGAGGGUGCGAGCGUUAAUCGGAAUUACUGGGCGUAAAGCGCUCGUAGACGGUAUGUCAAGUCAAGGGUGAAAUCCCCGCGCUCAACGUGUGAACUGCCUUUGAUACUGGCAACCUGGAGUGCGUGAGAGGAUAGUGGAAUUCGAGGUGUAGGAGUGAAAUGCGUAGAUAUCACGAAGAACACCGGUGGCGAAGGCGACUAUCUGGCACAUAACUGACGCUGAGGAGCGAAAGUGUGGGUAGCAAACAGGAUUAGAUACCCGAGUAGUC